GAGGAUAUAGCUCAGUUGGUAGAGUGCUUGCCUUUUGCACAUAAGGCCCUGGGUUCUAAUCCCUAUCACCA
RNAcentral lists this transfer RNA (71 nucleotides) under Ictidomys tridecemlineatus (thirteen-lined ground squirrel). RNAcentral's name for it is "Spermophilus tridecemlineatus (thirteen-lined ground squirrel) tRNA". It matches the Rfam family "tRNA". From Rfam's summary of the family: Transfer RNA (tRNA) molecules are approximately 80 nucleotides in length. Their secondary structure includes four short double-helical elements and three loops (D, anti-codon, and T loops). Further hydrogen bonds mediate the characteristic L-shaped molecular structure. tRNAs have two regions of fundamental functional importance: the anti-codon, which is responsible for specific mRNA codon recognition, and the 3' end, to which the tRNAs corresponding amino acid is attached (by aminoacyl-tRNA synthetases). tRNAs cope with the degeneracy of the genetic code in two manners: having more than one tRNA (with a specific anti-codon) for a particular amino acid; and 'wobble' base-pairing, i.e. permitting non-standard base-pairing at the 3rd anti-codon position. Lineage: Eukaryota; Metazoa; Chordata; Mammalia; Rodentia; Sciuridae. The record is from Rfam by way of RNAcentral.